Neofelis nebulosa (Clouded leopard) is the source of this 4739-nucleotide long non-coding RNA. RefSeq lists it as uncharacterized. NCBI's taxonomy places the organism in Eukaryota, Metazoa, Chordata, Mammalia, Carnivora, Felidae. The transcript has 7 exons. The record is from RefSeq and is a predicted model, not a curated record.
CAAAAUAAAUAAAUAAACUUUAAAAAUAAAAUCUUUACUAAAAUAAUCAACUAGUGUAGGCCUUAGACUACAGAUGUAAAAAAGGUUGUCAUUAUAUUCAUAAGCAAACAUGUAUUGGAUAUCUUCACAACAGGUAUUACAUAUUUAUACACAAGAAUCUUAUAAUGAUGUUGCAAAUAUGUAGUUCACAUUGAAAUAGGGGUAAAAAUGAAAGUGAGACUAGUGAUAAUUUGGUACGUUGUUUCAAUAAUAAUAAUAAUAAUGUGAAGAAAGAGGCAUUUGCAAUCAUGGAAUGCAUAAGACAUGUCAAGCACAGUAUUAAGUAUUUUUAGGAAUAACUUUAUAUCUUUUCUCAACAACCCUCUAACUGAAGUUAUAGGGUAUCUUCAUUUUCUAAAUGAGAAAACUAGGCCUGAAAAAGAAGUCAUCUCCCCAAGUUCACAUCACUGGGCAGUGGGGUAGACUCUAAACCCAAGCAAUCACAGAGACCUCAUCCUUAACCUCUGCAUUCUACUGUUCCCUCUCUGUCUUUGAUGAUAAAUUUUAUAGUAAAGUAAGUUUGAGAGGAAACCAAAAUGCAGAUGUGUAAUUCAUUCAAGCUAGGAAAAAGGAAUUAGAAGAAAUUCUAUUAUGAAUUUCUAAACAAUUUCUAUAUACAUAAACCAAAAUAUUCAGAAUAGUCCUUUUCCCUGAGUUUUCUAGAAAGUGAGUCUUGUAUGAUAACCCUAAACUCCAUAUAUGUUGACCCUGACCAUAUUUAUUUGCUCACCUUACUUAAAUGGAAUCAUGUGUAUCUAAGUUUAGAAGUUAGCCUUCAGGGAGACUGAGAUGUCCUAAAUAACACAACAUAAAACUUCAAUGAAAAAUGAAAAUAAACUGGAAAAAUGUAUUUCUAUAAAAAAUAGUAACAGUUAGUUAUCUGUUUACUAAUGGCAUGCUCCAUUGUAUUGAUUUGUCUCAAUCUGUACAACUGCAAAAAUAUAUGGAGUUUUCCUUUAUCUAUAUAUCGAUGAUAAACACUACUGUAAUGUCUUUUAUAUUUUAUUAUACUCAAUGAUAGGACACUGAAGGUGGACCUGAGGACAAAAAUGAUUUAGAAAAAGCAGGAGUGGGGGCGCCUGGGUGGCGCAGUCGGUUAAGCAUCCGACUUCAGCUAGGUCACGAUCUCGCGGUCCGUGAGUUCGAGCCCCGCGUCAGGCUCUGGGCUGAUGGCUCGGAGCCUGGAGCCUGUUUCCGAUUCUGUGUCUCCCUCUCUCUCUGGCCCUCCCCCGUUCAUGCUCUGUCUCUCUCUGUCCCAAAAAUAAAUUAAAAAAAAAAAAAAAAAAAAAAAAAGCAGGAGUGCAGCUAGAAAGCUGAGAAAGACCCAUUAGAAGUACGGGGAAGAAAGAGGUAGCAGCAUGAAACAUGAGAUACAGCACUCCUUAUAUCCUUCAGGGAACGUAAUGUCCUGAGAUCUAAAAUUUUCAUAAAUCAUCAUCAUGUGCAACUUAUCAUAUAAGGCAAUAACUUCAGAAAUUAAAAACAUGCCUUCCCUUUAGAGCAAAUAUAGAACAUUUCUCUAUUGAAUGUAUCUGGGACUUCUAUUAUCUGUUAGCUUCUGUAUCUGAUUCUCACAGACCAUUGCACUCGCCCUUCACUUUCACCAGAAGAGUGUUUCAGCACUUUGGAAAAUUUCUGUGUGUCCAGUGUUGAGUCAAGAACAAACAGGUGUACCAGUCUUUCACAGCAUAUGUUAAUUUAAAUUUGUGCAAAAGAAAAUUACAAAUUAUUGCAUAUCAUAUAACUUCAGAAUCAUUCAAAGAUGUUAAAAAAUAGUACUAAAUCUAUGAAUUCCAAGGAUAUGCCAAAGUAAUAUUUAUUACACUGCUUUAUAAUCAUAUUGAUGUUUCAGAGAUACUGUCCUCCAAUCUAUUAAAAAUCUUGUCAUUUGGUAUUAUAUACAUUUAUAUAUGGAUACAGAGACAGAGAGAAAGAGCAUAUUGAAUAAAAAAUAUAGAUUUGUUGGAAGUAUUAACUCCAUAAAGAUUCUCAGUAAGAAUUUAUGAUUUGUUAUAUUUAGAUUGUUAGGAAGACAUCUAAUGUAGGAUUUUAUCAAAUGUUAAUUACUAAUAAGUAAAACUUGAUAAUGAGUUGAUUUGAUUGCCCAGAAGUAGGAGAGGACCACUAAUUAAUUAUCUCAGAAUUUAAGGCCAAGGUAUUCAUGUAUUUAUAGUAAUAUUCAAAUUAUUUACUGAAUCCACAUAGUUUUCCAUCACUCAUUCUAUUAGUUCACUGUAUCACUCAAGGAAACACUUUAACCUACAAAUUAGCCUAGAAAUAAUAGCCUGUGACUAAAUGAAAUAGAGUCAAAAGAAAGUGGUUUUGUGCCACUUGACAGCUAAAAAAUAUUCAGUGUAUGCAAAUAUAGUCUGCUGAGCUAAAUCCUUUCUAGCUGUCACAGAAGAAAAAAUGUCAUCAAGAGCAGCAUCUUGGUUUAAAGGUAUUCAAGAUGUCUUUUGAGAAAGACUACCCUGGCCUUACCUUUCUAUAACAAAAAUCUUUAAAACAAACAAACAAAACAAACAGGGCACCUGGGUGGCUCAGUCGGUUAAGUGUCCAACUUCAGCUCAGAUCAUGAUCUCGCGGUUCAUGAAUUCGGGCCCCGUGUUGGGCUCUGUGCUGACAGCUGGGAGACUGCUUUGGAUUCUGUGUCUCCCUUUUUCCUGCCCACCCGUGCUCACACUCUGUCUUUCUCUCUCUCAAAAAUAAACACUGAAAAAAUUUUUAAAAAAGAAAAAUCUGUGCCCUCUUGGAAAAAGGCAUCAGGUUGUUGGUUUUUUUUUAAUUUAGAUAGUAUACUGGACCAGACUGAUGGGAUAUAUUUAUCAAGUAUAACUUAAUGAAUAAAUAUUUAUCAACAUACUUCAUCUAUUUCUGAUCCUUGUAUUUCUUAUGUAAUAUUUAUGAUUACAUAAGUUAUAUUUAUAUGUAAAAUGCUAAUAUAAGUUCACACAUAACAUAUUUUUAUCUAUAUACCUAUCUAUUAUGCCUUGAUACUUUUAAAAACAUUUACAAUAAUAUUGUAUUUAUCAUAACAGCUCCAUGAAGAAAGGUCAAAUUUCCUUAUCCUCGUUUUAAAGAUAAGAAAACAAAAUUUCACAGUGUUGAAAGGUGAAGAUGUAUGAUAGAGAAAACAAAAGAAGGAAUAAAUCUGACACUGAAGUUCAAUGUUUUAAACAAUGGAGGCCAAAUAAGAGGAGGAUUUGGAUUUGAACAAAUGUGAUUCUGAAGUGACUAUGAAUAACAACCACUGAUUAAAAUAUAUGUGGAACAUAUUAAUAUGUUAAUUAUGCAGCUUAAGAAAGAAGAGGUUAAUCUGGGCUGGGAUUUUAAAAGAUGGCUUCAUAGAAGAGGUGAGAUUUGGAUGAAAAGUCAGAUAUGGACAGAAGGUUUUCUUCACCAUGACUUGCUUCACCACUUAACACCCAAGCCUAACACAGAGCCUGGCACAUAGUACAUACUCAGAAAUAUUUGUUGAAUAAAUAACAUGUGAAUGAAUGAAGCUAUGAGAGCAAAAAAUUCUUUCCAACUUUCAUCACAUCAGAUCUUACAUUGUACUGGCCAAAAAGUGAAAGAGGAAAGAAAUGGAAGCAUAGAAAAGGAGUCAAUGUUCUUCUCUCUACUCCAAAAUUUCACAGACUUGCAAUAAUGUCUCCUCCAAGAAAGAGCCUCCCAGACUUCUCAGUUUGUCUUUAUCUGGAAAGAAGAAAGAGGAAGACAAGAAAGUCUUUGCUGCUCACUGUUGGUGCUACCCACUAAUAAAAACAAAUAUUUCAGCAAAAAGCUAACAGUUUCCAAAUAGCGUAACAAAAACGAAUUGGACAUUCCUACAUUUACCACUGCAGCCUUCUGUUUCCUCUCUAUGAACACAGUCCUGAUAUCUUAAGGAUAUAUCGAUACUAUGUGCACCCCAUUCCCCUACCUAAAUUUCUGAUCACUAAAAAGAAAGAGAAGGACAUAAUUACAGGAGUAAGCAGCAGGGUAUGGUUUUUGACAACAAGGACAGUGAGCCCGACUGCCUGAUUUCAAGUCCUGGGUCCACUAUUUCCUAACAGUGAGAUCACAGGCAAGUAGCUAGAUGCACUACUUAGAGGAAUACAAACAAAUUGGAGCUGAUCUAACCAACACAUACUUCCCAGAAGCUGAGAGACCUUCAUGAAGCAAGGAUUAAUUAUUUGUGGCAUAGUAUACAACAGUAACAACGACAGCUCAACAAAUCUACCAUAGGAGAAAUAGAAGAUAACCAUUAAGGAUAAAUAUACUAACCCUGAAAACCUCAGACUCUACCAUUUUCAUCUACUGUGAAAAUACAGUAAUGUUUGUAAUAUGUCUUUGUUUUUGCUUAUCGACAAUAAAUAUAUACUAACCCGUAAAUCCUCUCUUUACUAGCAUAAUGCCAAUGGAUUUUCAUCAUUAAAAGAUCCUCAAAUGGACAGCUGAAUUUUCAAAGCUUUCAAAGAAAGUAUAUAUUGAGCUUGUAGCUUGGUUGGUACUUUCCUCCAAAGAUAAUCCUAGUCACUGCCAACAACAUUGGAACCUUCAAUAGUCGGAACUGGAGGCCUUCACCAGAAAGCAGUCCUUUAAUCAUGUUUUUGCUCUUCCUUUCACUCCUGAAAUCAACUUUGGUAUAAGUAUGAUCCUCAGUUAUCAGACCCUAUCAUACAUCUAUGAAAUUUGAAAAUAAACAGGUGUUUAAAAUA